CUCAGACCACCAUCCUACCAGCUGUGAGAGUUCCUUCAAACUGUCAGAGAGAUUUCAGCCUGUUGAUGUUUGACCCUGAUGGAGACGAAGUUAAAUGCAGAUAUGGAAACUCUGCACUCUCAGAGUGUAACCCCUGCACUCCACCCUCUGUCCUCAGCCUCUCAUCGUCGUCUUGUACUCUGUCAUUCAGCCCCACCAGCAGCAGUAAUGAAGGUUCGUAUGUAGUACAGCUGGUGAUGGAGGACUUCCCCAGACAGACCAUCACUCUGACUCAAACCAACGGGACACAAACAAUAAUAACUACCAACGAUGCCAUCAGCAAAAUACCGAUUCAGUUUGCUUUGAAAGAUAUUUGUCAUGGCUGUUGAAGAUAAGCAGGAAUAGUGGACCUGAGAGCUGAACUCGAGGAGGCAAAGUGAACUCAAAACAUGCGGCAUUAUUUUGAUCCUGCAGUGCCAUCCUGCACAGAAGGACUCUUUCUGCCCAAGUUUCUUCCUCCAACACCAGCCAACGGAGCUCAGCUCUACAACAAUGUCAGUCAGACUCUGGAAAUUAACAUCAAUGCAGAGGCACUUAACUCCACGUAAGUAAAAACGAAAAAAAAAAA
This is a long non-coding RNA of Astatotilapia calliptera (eastern happy), 607 nucleotides long. Lineage: Eukaryota; Metazoa; Chordata; Actinopteri; Cichliformes; Cichlidae. The record is from Ensembl.